GACGAACGCUGGCGGCGUGCCUAACACAUGCAAGUCGAACGGAAAGGCCCUGCUUUUGUGGGGUGCUCGAGUUGCGAACGGGUGAGUAACACGUGAGUAACCUGCCCUUGACUUUGGGAUAACUUAAGGAAACUGAGGCUCAUACCGGAUAGGAUCUCCUGCUGCAUGUUGGGGGUGGGAAAGUUUCGGCGGUUGGGGAUGGACUCGCGUCUUAUCGGCUUGUUGGUGAGGUAGUGGCUUACCAAGGCUUUGACGGGUUGCCGUCCUGGGCGGGUGGCCUGCCACACUGCGACUGGACUACGGCCCAGCCUCGUACCGGAGGCAAGGGUGGAGAAUAUUGCACAAUAGGCGGAAGCCAGAUGCAGUACCGCCGCGUGCGGGAAGAGAGGCUUGGGGUUGUGAACUGCUUUCGUUUGUGCCGAAGCGUGAGUGACGGUACUGGGUAAAGAAGCACCGGCUAACUACGUG
RNAcentral lists this ribosomal RNA (468 nucleotides) under uncultured bacterium. RNAcentral's name for it is "partial 16S ribosomal RNA". It matches the Rfam family "Bacterial small subunit ribosomal RNA", at positions 28 to 507 of the family's 1533-position model. The record is from RNAcentral.